GAAACCGGAGCUAAUACCGGAUAAUAUAUUGAACCGCAUGGUUCAAUAGUGAAAGACGAUUUUGCUGUCACUUAUAGAUGGAUCCGCGCCGCAUUAGCUAGUUGGUAAGGUAACGGCUUACCAAGGCAACGAUGCGUAGCCGACCUGAGAGGGUGAUCGGCCACACUGGAACUGAGACACGGUCCAG
This 187-nucleotide ribosomal RNA is filed under the name uncultured Staphylococcus sp. Its description in RNAcentral is "partial 16S ribosomal RNA". It matches the Rfam family "Bacterial small subunit ribosomal RNA", at positions 153 to 334 of the family's 1533-position model. Lineage: Bacteria; Bacillati; Bacillota; Bacilli; Caryophanales; Staphylococcaceae. The record is from RNAcentral.